Carcharodon carcharias (great white shark) is the source of this 162-nucleotide small nuclear RNA. RefSeq annotates it as U1 spliceosomal RNA. NCBI's taxonomy places the organism in Eukaryota, Metazoa, Chordata, Chondrichthyes, Lamniformes, Lamnidae. The record is from RefSeq and is a predicted model, not a curated record. The transcript has a single exon.
AUACUCACCUGGCAGGUGAGAGACAAUGAUCAGGAAGGUUGUUCUCCCAGAACGAGGCUAUCCCAUUGCACUCUGGGUGUGUCGGUGCCUAUGCUGUCCCCAGAUAUGGGAUACUUGACUAUAAAAUUUAUGGUAGUGGGGACUGUGUUUGCGCUCUCCCCU